GGGGUCAGUGUAAGCGAGGCACGAACAAAGUUUAAGUUUAAGGCGUUCCACAGGAAAAAUGUACGUCAUUUUUAUCGUUUUAAUUCUUGUUUAAUGAUUGCUAACUUGUUUCCUAAUUUUUCAGGUGAGAAAUUAUGCAUGCGUCACACAAUGAAGUAGCAAAUCGCAAAUUUUCCUAACUCGAAACUUUAAGUAGACUGAUGCCGAUUUGCUGAAACCAAAAUGAGACAUGUUUCGACCCAUCGACACAACGUUAAACUUUUACGACGGUAACUAAAAUGACAUCAAACAAGAACUGGGAUUAGGGACUGAGACUCCACUUAAAUAGCCCACUUUACGAUUCCGCUCUACUUUCUCCCGAACCUCCAAGUCCUACGUGAGAGCAGAACCCGAAAGAAGUAAAAGGGGUUACCUCAAUCAACACAACAACUUGGUUGAAAGGCAGUCAGUGUUGCUGAUGUUCCUGGAUUCCGCCUUACACCAAAACCAGCCAGUUGAACCGAAAUUCAAUACACCGCCAAUCGAUCGCUCUGUACUUACACUAACAUGUAAUGGAACUUUAUUUUUAUGUCACCCAACUGACGUUAUUCGGUUCUAAACUUUAAUAAU
This is a long non-coding RNA of Bombyx mori (domestic silkworm), 609 nucleotides long. RefSeq lists it as uncharacterized. The record is from RefSeq and is a predicted model, not a curated record. The transcript has 3 exons. Lineage: Eukaryota; Metazoa; Arthropoda; Insecta; Lepidoptera; Bombycidae.